RNAcentral lists this ribosomal RNA (292 nucleotides) under uncultured bacterium. RNAcentral's name for it is "partial 16S ribosomal RNA". It matches the Rfam family "Bacterial small subunit ribosomal RNA", at positions 505 to 796 of the family's 1533-position model. The record is from RNAcentral.
GUGCCAGCAGCCGCGGUAAUACAGAGGGUGCGAGCGUUAAUCGGAAUUACUGGGCGUAAAGCGCGCGUAGGCGGCUUUGCAAGUCGGGUGUGAAAUCCCCAGGCUUAACCUGGGAACUGCAUUCGAGACUGCAUUGCUAGAGUAUGGGAGAGGGAAGUGGAAUUUCCGGUGUAGCGGUGAAAUGCGUAGAUAUCGGAAGGAACAUCAGUGGCGAAAGCGACUUCCUGGACCAAUACUGACGCUCAUGUGCGAAAGCGUGGGGAGCAAACAGGAUUAGAUACCCUGGUAGUCC